UGGGAAUAUUGCACAAUGGGCGCAAGCCUGAUGCAGCCAUGCCGCGUGUGUGAAGAAGGCCUUCGGGUUGUAAAGCACUUUCAGCGAGGAGGAAGGUGGUGGACUUAAUACGUUCAUCAAUUGACGUUACUCGCAGAAGAAGCACCGGCUAACUCCGUGCCAGCAGCCGCGGUAAUACGGAGGGUGCAAGCGUUAAUCGGAAUUACUGGGCGUAAAGCGCACGCAGGCGGUUUGUUAAGUCAGAUGUGAAAUCCCCGGGCUCAACCUGGGAACUGCAUUUGAAACUGGCAAGCUAGAGUCUCGUAGAGGGGGGUAGAAUUCCAGGUGUAGCGGUGAAAUGCGUAGAGAUCUGGAGGAAUACCGGUGGCGAAGGCGGCCCCCCUGGANGAAGACUGACGCUCAGGUGCGAAAGCGUGGGGAGCAAACAGAUUAGNUACCCUGGUAG
RNAcentral lists this ribosomal RNA (445 nucleotides) under uncultured bacterium. Its description in RNAcentral is "partial 16S ribosomal RNA". It matches the Rfam family "Bacterial small subunit ribosomal RNA", at positions 356 to 793 of the family's 1533-position model. The record is from RNAcentral.